AACGAACGCUGGCGGCGUGCCUAACACAUGCAAGUCGAGCGCGAAUGGAGCAAUCCUAGUAGAGCGGCGCACGGGUGCGUAACACGUGGGUAAUCUGCCUCAAAGCCUGGAAUAACCUGCCGAAAGGCUGGCUAAUACCAGAUAAGCCUACAGGCUCCUCGGAGCCCGAAGGAAAAGGUGGCCUCUGUAUACAAGCUAUCACUUUGGA
This 208-nucleotide ribosomal RNA is filed under the name uncultured bacterium. Its description in RNAcentral is "partial 16S ribosomal RNA". It matches the Rfam family "Bacterial small subunit ribosomal RNA", at positions 29 to 224 of the family's 1533-position model. The record is from RNAcentral.